Molecule: ribosomal RNA, 395 nt
Filed under: uncultured bacterium
Lineage: Bacteria
Description: bacterial SSU rRNA
Rfam family: Bacterial small subunit ribosomal RNA
Source: RNAcentral
GACGAACGCUGGCGGCGUGCUUAACACAUGCAAGUCGAGCGGUAAGGCCCUUCGGGGUACACGAGCGGCGAACGGGUGAGUAACACGUGGGUGACCUGCCUCUAGCUCUGGGAUAAGCCUGGGAAACUGGGUCUAAUACCGGAUAUGACUCCACGGCGCAUGUUGUGGGGUGGAAAGCCUUGUGUGGCUAGAGAUGGGCCCGCGGCCUAUCAGCUUGUUGGUGGGGUGAUGGCCUACCAAGGCGACGACGGGUAGCCGGCCUGAGAGGGCGACCGGCCACACUGGGACUGAGACACGGCCCAGACUCCUACGGGAGGCAGCAGUGGGGAAUCUUGCGCAAUGGGCGAAAGCCUGACGCAGCGACGCCGCGUGAGGGAUGACGGCCUCGGUUGUAA